Molecule: transfer RNA, 76 nt
Filed under: Flavobacterium sp. ACN6
Lineage: Bacteria; Pseudomonadati; Bacteroidota; Flavobacteriia; Flavobacteriales; Flavobacteriaceae
Description: tRNA-Lys
Rfam family: tRNA
About the family: Transfer RNA (tRNA) molecules are approximately 80 nucleotides in length. Their secondary structure includes four short double-helical elements and three loops (D, anti-codon, and T loops). Further hydrogen bonds mediate the characteristic L-shaped molecular structure. tRNAs have two regions of fundamental functional importance: the anti-codon, which is responsible for specific mRNA codon recognition, and the 3' end, to which the tRNAs corresponding amino acid is attached (by aminoacyl-tRNA synthetases). tRNAs cope with the degeneracy of the genetic code in two manners: having more than one tRNA (with a specific anti-codon) for a particular amino acid; and 'wobble' base-pairing, i.e. permitting non-standard base-pairing at the 3rd anti-codon position.
Source: RNAcentral
GAAUGCAUAACUCAGCUGGAUAGAGUCCCCGGUUUUUAAUCGGGACGGUCGGAGGUUCGAAUCCUUCUGCGUUCGC